RNAcentral lists this unclassified non-coding RNA (1346 nucleotides) under Hevea brasiliensis (rubber tree). The record is from RNAcentral. Lineage: Eukaryota; Viridiplantae; Streptophyta; Magnoliopsida; Malpighiales; Euphorbiaceae.
CCUCCCUCACAUGGUUGUAAAUAUACACAAUAACAUCAUGAAAUUAAAGAAAAAUAUGGAUAAUAAAAACGUCAAUUACAAAUUAACUAUAUCAAAUUUGUUUCCAUAAUUUCAGCAUUUUAAUUAUAUAUACAUAUUAGAUGAGCUGUACUUUUGAAAGAUAAAUGAGAAUUGGGUAGGCAUAGCUAUAGACUUCCUCAAUUUGGUGUCUUGAAUCGAUAACCUCUCUUGUUUAGGCAAUGACAUUAACGAAAGUUGAUGAUGACUUGAUGUUUAGGUAAGGGAUGUCUUGUGUUUAUGCUGCAGCGGAUACCUGAUUUUUCGAGUGGGUGGGUGAGUUCCAUUGCUAAAUCGUAGUCUUAUUGAAGCUUCUUUUCUUUUCAAGGGGCAAAAUAAAAAUGGGGACGCAGGCAAUAUCUAUUUCAUGGAGAAAGAUACGUUCGCAAGCCAAGAAGGAAGUAUUGAACUAAUAUUCAAGUGAUCAAAUACAAUUUUCAUGCGCCUUCUUCUUAAUACAGGAAAUCAAGAUCUAAACCUGAAAUUUCUACACAUGCUUCACAACAGAAAUGAUAUCACUAAAAUUACUCCAAUUCCUAUCCUCAAAUAUAAUAAAUUUAUUUUCUUCUUUUGGCAGAAUAAAUUACAAAUGCAGUACAGCAGCAAUAAACAAAAACCCAAAUUGGGUGUUUAAUUUAAAGAACCUGCCUAUCAGCAGCUUCUGCAACAAUGGGCAACCUAGGAACCUGACCCAGCAAACAAGAACUAGAUCCAUAAAUCAGACAAACCAAAAGGUAAAGAAAUACAGUACUGUCCAAACUCAUCAACAAAUCCAAUCCCAAUCCAUCUCUAGGAUUAAAACUCCUCUCCAGCAAAUCUGGAAAAAUAAGAAGCACAUCGAGCACAAUAGCCUGCAUGAUAUUGAACCUCACAUAUCUACUAAAAUUGGGAUUUCUCACAACAACAAAGUAAAGAGUAAGAAAUACCAAAAACCCAUUAAGGGGAAAGCUCUUGAAGACUCUUAUAGCCGGGAACAAAGGCUGGAUAAGAGCGUGAAUGGGAGAGAACUGGGUUAUCACGUAUUUUCCAUACUGGACUCCAUCAAAAAAUGGGUAAAAGUAGCAGACUGCAGAGAUUAUUCGGUCUCCGGUAUCUGCUGAGUCACCGCCGUUGUAUUUGGCCGUGAUGAUUUUAGUAGGUCUUUUAGGUUUACUGAAUUGGGUUCUGUGUGUUUUGAUUUGGGUUGUUAGAGAGAGAAGAGACGGGCCUUUUAGAGAGAUAAGAAAGGGUUUGUGCAAGAGAGAGAGAGCAGACAUGGCUACGGUCAGUAAGGUAGAGGCUAGAUGGCU